UACGUAGGGGGCAAGCGUUGUCCGGAUUUACUGGGCGUAAAGGGUGCGUAGGCGGCUUUUUAAGUUUGGUGUGAAAUCUCCUGGCUCAACUGGGAGGGUGCGCCGAAUACUGAGAAGCUAGAGUGUGGGAGAGGAAAGUGGAAUUCCUGGUGUAGCGGUGAAAUGCGUAGAUAUCAGGAGGAACACCGGUGGUGUAAACGGCUUUCUGGACCAUAACUGACGCUGAGGCACGAAAGCGUGGGUAGCAAACAGG
RNAcentral lists this ribosomal RNA (253 nucleotides) under uncultured bacterium. RNAcentral's name for it is "partial 16S ribosomal RNA". It matches the Rfam family "Bacterial small subunit ribosomal RNA", at positions 524 to 776 of the family's 1533-position model. The record is from RNAcentral.